UACGUAGGGACCAAGCGUUGUCCGGAAUUAUUGGGCGUAAAGAGCUCGUAGGUGGCUUGUCGCGUCUGCCGUGAAAGCCCAUGGCUUAACUGUGGGUCUGCGGUGGAUACGGGCAGGCUGGAGGCUGGUAGGGGCAAGCGGAAUUCCUGGUGUAGCGGUGAAAUGCGCAGAUAUCAGGAGGAACACCGGUGGCGAAGGCGGCUUGCUGGGCCAGUUCUGACGCUGAGGAGCGAAAGCGUGGGGAGCGAACAGG
RNAcentral lists this ribosomal RNA (253 nucleotides) under uncultured bacterium. RNAcentral's name for it is "partial 16S ribosomal RNA". It matches the Rfam family "Bacterial small subunit ribosomal RNA", at positions 524 to 776 of the family's 1533-position model. The record is from RNAcentral.